Carassius auratus (goldfish) is the source of this 228-nucleotide long non-coding RNA. RefSeq lists it as uncharacterized. The transcript is spliced from 3 exons. NCBI's taxonomy places the organism in Eukaryota, Metazoa, Chordata, Actinopteri, Cypriniformes, Cyprinidae. The record is from RefSeq and is a predicted model, not a curated record.
UUUUCUUCUUGUGACCUGACUUUCUACUAUGGAUUUGAGGUCUACUAGUAUACAAGCAGGAAGUGCCAAAAGAAAUACGACAAUCCACAGGCCUCCAAGCACAACUAUUACUGUCCGUCUACGAGUGCAGGCAUUCAAGUAUAUUAUAAAGAAAAUCGUCAGACACAUCAGACAACCGUCUGCACAAGCCAGGUUGAGGAUGAGCAGGGUGGUGACGGAGCGUUUGCG